GAAAUGCGAUAAUUAAUGUGAAUUGCAGAAUUCAGUGAAUCAUCGAGUCUUUGAACGCACAUUGCGCCCCCUGGUAUUCCGGGGGGCAUGCCUGUCCGAGCGUCAUUGCUGCCCUCAAGCACGGCUUGUGUGUUGGGCUUCCGUCCCUGGCAACGGGGACGGGCCCAAAAGGCAGUGGCGGCACCAUGUCUGGUCCUCGAGCGUAUGGGGCUUUGUCACCCGCUCCCGUAGGUCCAGCUGGCAGCUAGCCUCGCAACCAAUCUUUUUAACCGGGUUGACCUCGGAUCAGGUAGGGAUACCCGCUGAACUUAAGC
Molecule: unclassified non-coding RNA, 314 nt
Filed under: plant metagenome
Description: partial contains 5.8S ribosomal RNA, internal transcribed spacer 2, and large subunit ribosomal RNA
Rfam family: 5.8S ribosomal RNA (bases 1-105)
Source: RNAcentral